AUUAGAGCCCUUACACUGUGUAUCAUCUUAUGUAUGACCAUUACAUCAGCACUGGUCCCUCUCUCUUUCUAUCCCUCGACUGGACAGUGAGCAGACAUGUCUCAUCGCAAAUUCCACGCACCCCGCCAUGGACACAUGGGGUUCCUGCCUCACAAGCGUAGCAAGAAGCAUAGGGGCAGGGUGCGUACGUGGCCCAAAGAUGACCCCAGUCAACCCGUCCACCUCACUGCCUUUCUGGGAUACAAAGCUGGCAUGACCCACACACUGAGGGAGAUGCACCGCACUGGCCUCAAGCAAUCAAAGAGAGAGGAAGUAGAGGCGGUUACCAUCAUUGACACUCCUCCAGUCAUUGUGGUCGGGGUCGUGGGAUACAUUCACACUAUCCGUGGCUUGCGUUCCCUCAAAACUAUCUUUGCCGAGCAUCUCAGUGACGAGUGCAAGCGCAGAUUUUAUAAAAACUGGUUCAAGAGCAAAAAGAAGGCCUUCACUAAGUACAGUAAGAAGUGGCAGGAUGAGACAGGAAAAAAACAGCUGGACAAGGAUUUUGCUCAGAUGAAGAAAUACUGUUCAGUGAUCAGGGUCAUUGUUCACUCUCAGAUGCGACUGCUGCCCAUAAACCAGAAAAAGGCCCACAUCAUGGAGGUGCAGCUGAAUGGUGGAAGCAUCUCAGACAAGGUGGACUGGGCAAAGGAGCGUCUGGAGCAGGCCGUGCCCGUCUCUGCCGUCUUCUACCAGGAUGAGAUGAUUGACAUCAUUGGAGUCACCAAGGGUCAUGGCUUUAAAGGUGUGACAAGCCGCUGGCGCACAAAGAAGCUUCCCAGGAAGACUCACAAGGGUCUGAGGAAGGUGGCCUGUAUUGGGGCCUGGCAUCCAGCCCGUGUGGCAUACACAAUAGCUCGUGCUGGUCAGAAGGGCUAUAACCACCGUACCGAGAUCAACAAGAAGAUCUAUCGUAUUGGUAGGGGUGUGCACAUCCAGGAUGGAAAGGUGAUCCGGAACAAUGCCUCCACUAACUACGACACCAGCCAGAAGACCAUUACGCCCAUGGGAGGCUUCCCCCACUAUGGUGAAGUGAACAAUGACUUUGUUAUGGUGAAGGGCUGUGUGGUCGGGGCUAAGAAACGUGUCCUCACCCUCAGAAAGGACAUGUACAUGUAUGUGUACAUCUUUGUGUACACCCCAGUCUUUGCUCGUGCACACAUCUCGCAAGUCCAAGGAGACCAUCGAGCUCAAGUUCAUUGACACCACUUCCAAAUUUGGUCAUGGCCGCUUCCAGACUGCCCAGGAGAAGAGGGCAUUUAUGGGGCCACUGAAGAAGGAUGCCCUGAAGACACUGCCGGAACCUCUGACCGAGGAGGCCUGAAAAAAAUUCUCAUAUCUCAAUUCUCAUACAAUAAUAAAGAGUUUCAAAUACA
Molecule: RNA transcript, 1415 nt
Organism: Siniperca chuatsi (mandarin fish)
Lineage: Eukaryota; Metazoa; Chordata; Actinopteri; Centrarchiformes; Sinipercidae
Gene name: 60S ribosomal protein L3-like
Exons: 10
Source: RefSeq, a predicted model, not a curated record